CAGAAUUAAUCUAUAAUUACAAAGAACACUAAUAUAAGCUGACCAAUCAUGAUGACAUGUAUUCAAUCAAACAAGGACUUUUAUCUAAUUGUUACUCCCACUAUUUUUAUCGAAUAUCAUAACCCUCAAGUAUGAUGAAUGAGAAAAUACUAAUUUUCUUAGUGGGGUUGAGAUCCAAAUUUUUUAUAAGUUCAAAGGUAGAAAACUCUUUCCAAUUGCAUCCCAUGCAAUUUCCAACUUUAUCCUGUCCUCUAGCACACAUAUAGCCUUGUGGGAAUCACAACAAACUAUUGUGUCUAGUUAAGUUAAACCUUUCAUUUUUAUACAGUCAUAUUUGAAUAAUGCUGCCCUUGUGGGAAUCACAACAAGGCAACAUAUUAAAAUAUGCCAUAUGCAUCAUAUGCACCAAGAUAUUACAAUAUCAAUCCCUAAAACUAGCCUUGUGGGAAUCACAACAAGCUAGCGUAGAUAUUGACAUAAUAAUAUCUAAGCAU
RNAcentral lists this long non-coding RNA (494 nucleotides) under Phoenix dactylifera (date palm). Its description in RNAcentral is "long non-coding RNA (PDAC_LNC012596)". The record is from RNAcentral. Lineage: Eukaryota; Viridiplantae; Streptophyta; Magnoliopsida; Arecales; Arecaceae.